Molecule: ribosomal RNA, 235 nt
Filed under: uncultured bacterium
Lineage: Bacteria
Description: partial 16S ribosomal RNA
Rfam family: Bacterial small subunit ribosomal RNA
Source: RNAcentral
UGAGGAACAUGACCUUCGGCGGGGGAUAGCCGGCCCAACGGCCGGGUAAUACCGCGUACGACCACUUUGGGACAUCCCUGGGUGGUGAAAGCAGCAAUGCGCCGAUGGAGUGCCUCGCGGCCUAUCAGCUAGUUGGUGAGGUAACGGCUCACCAAGGCGACGACGGGUAGCUGGUCUGAGAGGAUGGCCAGCCACAUUGGGACUGAGACACGGUCCAGACCCCUACGGGAGGNAG